Molecule: transfer RNA, 71 nt
Filed under: Hylomyscus arcimontensis (Arc Mountain wood mouse)
Lineage: Eukaryota; Metazoa; Chordata; Mammalia; Rodentia; Muridae
Also listed under: 1 other name
Description: tRNA-Gln
Rfam family: tRNA
About the family: Transfer RNA (tRNA) molecules are approximately 80 nucleotides in length. Their secondary structure includes four short double-helical elements and three loops (D, anti-codon, and T loops).
Source: RNAcentral
UAGGACAUGGUGUAAUGGUAGCACUAAGAAUUUUGAAUUCUUAGGUUUAGGUUCAAUCCCUAUUGUUCUAG